Molecule: RNA transcript, 4233 nt
Organism: Triticum dicoccoides
Lineage: Eukaryota; Viridiplantae; Streptophyta; Magnoliopsida; Poales; Poaceae
Exons: 4
Source: RefSeq, a predicted model, not a curated record
UCCCUCGUCCCCUUCCCCUCCAUCUCAAUCCCUUCGCUCUCUCCUCUCGUCCCCUCACUGAAUCCCCACUCGGCAAGAAUCUCUCACUCACCAACACAAAAUCAACCAAUGCUGGCUGAUUCCAAGAUGGAUCCAACGAAUAGCAGGCAAGGGUCUUGUUCUUGAGCGGAGCAGCGUGAGCUUGAGGCCGGCGGCGGCGGCGGCUCUUGGUCCAGCGGGCCGGGGAAGGGGCGGAGGCUGCGACCUCACGCGGCGGCGCCAGAUCUUUCUGAUUCCGACUCGUUGGCCUCUCAAUCUUAAAUCUUUGCCUGCAAGCACGGCCCGCGAUGCCGCCGGCGCGUGUGCGGGAGUUGGGGGAGAUGUACGAGCUCGUGGAGGAGAUCCUGCUCCUCAUCCCGCCUGAGGAGCCCGCGGUCCUCAUCCACGCCUCCCUCGUCUGCAAGGCGUGGUGCCGCCUUCUCUCCAGCCACGCCUUCCACAGCCGCUACCACACCUUGCACAAAACACCUCCAGUCCUGUGCUUCUUACAAAGGUGGGAGGACAACGUGGAGCGCUUCGUCCCCACCACAAAGUUCCGCCCCCGCAAUCCCGAGCGGCGAGACAGUUAUGUGCUCGACUGCCGCCAUGGCCGCAUUCUUCUUGGGUGUAGGUGGUACGAUGAGGGGGAGGAGGACGAUGAGGAGGAGGAAGCUGACGAGCAGUUGGAAGAGGAAGAAGAUGAUAUCGAGGAGGACGGUGAGGGGGAAGAAGCUGACAAGGAGGAGGAAGAAUAUGAUACGGAUGAGGAGGGGGAGGAGGACGACGACGAAGAUGAAGAUGAGGGGGAGGAAGAUGACAGGGUCUUGAAGAUGGUCGUCUGGGACCCCGUGUCGGGAGGCCGAACCAAGUUGCGCAGCCCCGACAUCUUCGACCCUGACGUCAAUGGCGCAACCUAUUGGGGCACGGUGCUAUGUGCGGCGGAUGGCUGCAACCAUGCUUCCUGCAACUUGGGGCCAUUUUUCGUGGCUUUAAUCGGCCUUGACAGCUACCAGCCGUAUGAUGACGAUGAUAAGAGGCUGUGGGCGUCAGUAUACUCAUCAGAGAGCCGGGAAUGGACCUCAACAGCCAGUAUUCACAUCGGUGGCGUUGGAAGAUUUGAAGACUCCAUCAUCGGAAGGCCCAGUGUCUUUGUUGGACAAGCGCUCCACUUCCUCCUUCACGGGGAUCCAACUGUGGCCAACAUUUUUAUUCUCAAGUAUGACUUUCGUAGGCAUCGCCUAUCAGUCAUUGAUCUGCCAGAGCCGCGUGUUAGCAGUUGGACCCCCCUCCUCAUCUCGGCGGAUGACGGUGGGCUAGGGCUGGUCCACCUAGACCAGGAUGGGCUAUGCUCCAUUUGGUCGGUGGAGGUGAGUGUUGAUGGAGUAGCGUCGUGUAUCCAACUCAAAGAAACGGACCUCAAGACACUUGUCCCCAUUGGCAAUCCCAUGAGCUCAGACUCACUAAAGUUGGUUGGCUGGGUGGAGGGCACCGAUAUCAUCAUUGCAGUCACAGAUCUUGGUGUGUUCACAGUUGAUCUCAAGUCUUUGAGGUUGAGGAAGUUGUCGAGUAAGCCGUAUAAUUUCACAUUCAAGCGAGAUUCAUUUAAUAACCUCUUUCUCUACACGAGCUUCAACAAUCCACCAGGAGCGCCUGCAAUUACAGUUAUACCACUAUAUACAACUCAAAACCAGAAAAGCAAUAUGCAGGAGCACACCAUUUCGAUGUCCCUGCAAAAGGAAAAGGAAAAAAGGGCAAAAAUGAGAAAUAAAAAUAAAGGAAUCACAUCUUGGGUCGUGGUCUUGCCAUAGCAGCAGCACCAUCCUUCCUCAUCAUGAUCAUCUAAGGAAGAAGGUGGAAGAAAAAGAAUGGAGAAUCCAGGAAGAAAUCUGCUCAGUGGUGCCUGGCGCUAUGGCCCCUGGGGCCAUAGUAGUCCACAUGGACCUCAGGCAUCCUAUGACCUGCCCUCUCUUUCUCUUCAGAGACGGCCUCCUCCACCUCUUCCCCUGAUGAUGGCUCAGCACCAUCAGCCUUGAUCGCCACCCCUUUCUCCAUGGAUUUCUGUGACCGAUCGAAGAAAGCACGCAAGGUUAGAGAACGAUCAUCGCGCAACAACACAUCGAAUCACCGGAGACGACAGCCGCAAUCACUUACAUUGAGCACAGGGUUGCUGAGUGCCGUCUUGCUCACCGCAUCCAGCCUGAUGCCCUGGGCCAUGGCCACCAUCAGGAGCAGAAGCACAGCGGCCGCAGCCAUCGGCAGGCAUGUCUUCGCCAUCUUGUGCGCCCAGUAUCUUUAUAAGGACCUUGAAACAGUUGAGCUGGGAGACGAACGCUGUUUCAAGCCUUCAAACUCAGCUCAGGUGGAAUGGAACAACAGUGGGUCAGUCUCAGUGAAGAGCUGUGGACUCUGUUGUCUGAAGAACCAUUUGACCCUGAGAAGACCAUAUAUACUAGACACUUACACAGCAGACACACAACUUUGGUCAAGGGCACCGGCCCGGGCCCACCCGGUGAUUGGUGUACUCAUGUCUGCAGCCAAGGGUCUAACCUGAAGUACCAAUGCAGGAAUGUGGCCAUUGUUUAUGCACUCCCUGCUAUGCUUUGGAAGAGUCUGUCUGCCCUCAACCAUGGAGCCAUGUUUAUUAGGACGCUGGACCCCUGGAUUAGGCGUGUAACGCCAUGGGAAGGAUGGAAUUAAGAAUUCUGUCAAGUGCACCUCAAGCAAGUACGUAAUAAUGGACACAUCUGCUCCUCAAAGUUGCCUGCAUGUCCUGGAGAUGCACCGGGGCGCGUAUAUUUGCUCGCGCGUCCCUUCAGAAAACUGUGGGAGAAACCAUUUGAAUUUGGGCUGUUUAACUUUUUUCGCGCAAAGAUUCUGUAUCUUUUUAUUGAUAGAAGGAAUCAAAAUGAGUAUAGACAAGGAUACAACACAUGACACGAAUGCAAGGAGACGUGAACAUAAUGCCCGGAGCGGAGGGACAAGAGAUGCUCAUCCCGAUCAGAGGAAACCACACAGCUAGACUCACAAAGCCCCGAACAGGAGAGGCGUACCGAACAAGUAAGACGUCUAACAUCGUCAAAACGAACACCGGGGACACCGCGAGCUUUUAUCUGCUUUGAAGAUGAAGACAAGUAUGAGCAUGAAGAUGAAAGGUAUGUGUGGGCGUCCGUAUACUCGUCGGAGACCUGCGAGUGGAGCUCGCCGGUUCACAUCCAGGUUGGAAUAUUUGGAACCUGCAUCGUGGGAAGGCCUAGCGUCCUCGUCGGACAAACGCUCUAGCGUCCUCGUCGGACAAGCACUUUACGUCCUCUUUGAUCACCAUGAACUAGUACGUCAUACUAAUACUAAUUAUAGUGUUUUCAAGUACGACUUGCCGACUUGGGUAGGCAUUGUCUAUCAGUUAUGGAUCUGCCGGUGUCGUGUGACUCCAACCGUCUCCUCAUUUCGCCAGCCGACGGUGGGCUGGGGGCCAUCCAUCUAGACUCGCAUAGGCUAUGCCUCGUGUGAUCGAUGGAGGUGAGUCUUGAUGGAGCAGUGUCAUGGAUCCAACUCAGAGAAACGGACCUCAAGAUGCUUCUUUCUCCUGUUCGCAAUCCCAGCUGGAAAUCAAAGUCACCAAAGUUGGUUGGAUUUGUGGAGGGCACCAAUAUCAUCAUUGUGGUCACUGAUCUUCGUGUGUUCACACUUGAUCUCAAGUCCCUGAGGUUGAAGGAGUUGUCGACUAAGAAGUACACACGCAAUUACAAAUGGUGAUUGUUGGAGAACAUCUUUUUCUACAUGAGCUUCAACAAUCCAUCAGCGGUGGCUGGUGUUGUGGACGAGGACAACCCAAGGCCAAGUAAAGCAGGACGUAUUGAUGGCGGCAGUUUAAAUCUCGAGCAAGCCGUUGAAGCAUGGAAGUUCAGUUUAAUCUGUAGGUGUUGGUUUUCAUCCUAAGUCUUAUCCUUUAUGUUUGAUAUGGGAGUCUUAGCUAUGGUAUAUUGUUAAGCGUCAAUUUUAAGUUGGUUACCCAACAUGCAUGCUUGCUCUUCUUUGCGUGGCUUAUCAUGUUAUACUUUCAGUAGUAAGUAGUAACCGGUGGAAGAUAUGGUCACAAAAUUGUCAAGCUCUCGUUCCUUCUGUCAUUUUGUUGGCUUGUCAGUCUGCUCCCUGCAACUUCCUUUCCCAGGCAAAAUGCUUCCUGAUUUUGUAUAUGAAAUACCUAAUUUGGAUCCA